This 438-nucleotide RNase P RNA is filed under the name Micromonospora polyrhachis. RNAcentral's name for it is "Bacterial RNase P class A". It matches the Rfam family "Bacterial RNase P class A". From Rfam's summary of the family: Ribonuclease P (RNase P) is a ubiquitous endoribonuclease, found in archaea, bacteria and eukarya as well as chloroplasts and mitochondria. Its best characterised activity is the generation of mature 5'-ends of tRNAs by cleaving the 5'-leader elements of precursor-tRNAs. The record is from Rfam by way of RNAcentral. Lineage: Bacteria; Bacillati; Actinomycetota; Actinomycetes; Micromonosporales; Micromonosporaceae.
CGAGUCGACCGGGCGGUCGCGUCGGUGGGCCAGCGGGCCCGCCGCCGAGGAACGUCCGGACUCCAUAGGGCAGGGUGGUUGCUAACGGCAACCCGGGGCGACCCGCGGGACAGUGCCACAGAAAACAAACCGCCACGCUGGGUGUUUCGUGUCGAAAGACGCGGAUCUGGCGCGGUAAGGGUGAAACGGUGGGGUAAGAGCCCACCAGCAUCCCGGGUGACCGGGAUGGCUAGGUAAACCCCACCCGGAGCAAGGUCAAGACAGGGCCAUCACCGCGAGGUGACGGUUCGCGCAGGCGAUUGAGGGCGGCCCGCCCGAUGCCUGCGGGUAGACCGCUGGAGCCUGCCGGCAACGGUAGGCCGAGAUGGAUGGCCGCCACCGGCAGCACCGGCAACGGUGCCGUCGGGACAAAAUCCGGCGUACAGGUCGACUCGUCCG